AAAUAAAAAAAGUGCUAAUGAGACAGAAAAGGGCACUGAAAGAUCCGGUCACCCAGGGACCUCUCAAUUGCUCAGAUUUGGAGAAGGUGGGGAGAGAAGAUUGCGUCAAACAGACCUGAGAUCCGAUCCCAGCUCAGUCAUUUCCAGCUGUGUGACCUUGGCAAUGGAUGGCGCCUCUCCUUCCAUCCUCUACAGAAGGAGGAAGAGAUGUUUAAAGUGGAAAUAAGAGAAUUGGAGUUCUGAAAAUGUGAGAAUCAAAUCUACAGCCCCAUUUGUUCAGUGACUUCCUAUCUCCACCCCGUGAAGUUCACCAGAGGCACCGAGGGAACUUGCCCAGAUGGUUGUGGUGGCAUUGUCCCUGGUGUGUGAGGAAUUUUGGAGAAUACAAGAGGUGUAAAACUACUGUA
This 407-nucleotide long non-coding RNA is filed under the name Homo sapiens (human). Its description in RNAcentral is "HSALNT0295992". The record is from RNAcentral. Lineage: Eukaryota; Metazoa; Chordata; Mammalia; Primates; Hominidae.